UCUGCCGGUGCCAUUAAGGCCAGCUCUGGCCACCAUCUCUCCAAAUCGCCAUACCAAACGACUUAGCCUUCCUUCUGAUCAAACCCCCCCCCCCCAAAAAAAAAACUCAAAGGUCAAUAGCAGCUCCUUUCAUCUCCGUCUUCACCAUGCUUUGGCUCCUUCAAAACUCGACGGUAUUUGCAACAACACUGCCACCAGCCAUCCUUGGAAACGAUUUAAAUUACAACCUUUUGGAUUUAGACGAGCUAGAAGUGAUGAUGAUGAUCAGAGGCAUGAAGAUCUUCACAGUCCCAUCAGCGCCUGCCUGAACCACAACAGAUUUGUUUUUUUAAUCGCAUUCCUUCUACGAGAAAUGCAGAUAUUUUUUCCUUAUGGCCCUGCUACAAGAAGUGUUGAUGAUUUGCCUCGAGGCCCUGCUCCAAGAAGUGCAGAUGAUUUGACUGAGGAAACGUUUGGAGAAUCCUGGAAAGCUCAGAACGCUUUGGAUGGAAACUGCUUCACUGGAGAUUCAAUUUCAGUUUCAAAGAGCUGCUUGUUAGGACGGGUUACCCCUUAUUCUGUAACCAGCUUUCAUAUGUAGGAGAUCUCAUCAACAAAGUCUAAUGGACUACAAAGAAGAAGUUACCAGUGGGAUCUUUCAUAUGUAGGAGAUCUCAUUAACAAAGUAUUGGACUACAAGGAAGAAGUAACCAGUGGGAUGUGUCCUGGCGCUGCAGCCGUUGGCUCUUAUAGCUAGUUAAUUAGGUUGUGACAAUGAUCUACUUUUGGCACUUAGAUUUAUAUAGAAUUUUAGGUGGUCAGGUUUUGAUAAAUAUAUAUAGAGUUUUAGAAUGUGUAUUUUUAGGAAGGCAAGAACGACAUAUACGUGUUAUUUUCACCUGGAUUUGUA
Long non-coding RNA from Argentina anserina (silverweed cinquefoil), 889 nucleotides. RefSeq lists it as uncharacterized. The record is from RefSeq and is a predicted model, not a curated record. NCBI's taxonomy places the organism in Eukaryota, Viridiplantae, Streptophyta, Magnoliopsida, Rosales, Rosaceae. The transcript is spliced from 4 exons.